This 1450-nucleotide ribosomal RNA is filed under the name uncultured organism. RNAcentral's name for it is "SSU rRNA". It matches the Rfam family "Bacterial small subunit ribosomal RNA". The record is from RNAcentral.
GAACGCUAGCUACAGGCUUAACACAUGCAAGUCGAGGGGCAGCAUGGUCUUAGCUUGCUAAGGCCGAUGGCGACCGGCGCACGGGUGAGUAACACGUAUCCAACCUGCCGUCUACUCUUGGACAGCCUUCUGAAAGGAAGAUUAAUACAAGAUGGCAUCAUGAGUCCGCAUGUUCACAUGAUUAAAGGUAUUCCGGUAGACGAUGGGGAUGCGUUCCAUUAGAUAGUAGGCGGGGUAACGGCCCACCUAGUCUUCGAUGGAUAGGGGUUCUGAGAGGAAGGUCCCCCACAUUGGAACUGAGACACGGUCCAAACUCCUACGGGAGGCAGCAGUGAGGAAUAUUGGUCAACGGGCGAGAGCCUGAACCAGCCAAGUAGCGUGAAGGAUGACUGCCCUAUGGGUUGUAAACUUCUUUUAUAAAGGAAUAAAGUCGGGUAUGGAUACCCGUUUGCAUGUACUUUAUGAAUAAGGAUCGGCUAACUCCGUGCCAGCAGCCGCGGUAAUACGGAGGAUCCGAGCGUUAUCCGGAUUUAUUGGGUUUAAAGGGAGCGUAGAUGGAUGUUUAAGUCAGUUGUGAAAGUUUGCGGCUCAACCGUAAAAUUGCAGUUGAUACUGGAUAUCUUGAGUGCAGUUGAGGCAGGCGGAAUUCGUGGUGUAGCGGUGAAAUGCUUAGAUAUCACGAAGAACUCCGAUUGCGAAGGCAGCCUGCUAAGCUGCAACUGACAUUGAGGCUCGAAAGUGUGGGUAUCAAACAGGAUUAGAUACCCUGGUAGUCCACACGGUAAACGAUGAAUACUCGCUGUUUGCGAUAUACUGCAAGCGGCCAAGCGAAAGCGUUAAGUAUUCCACCUGGAGAGUACGCCGGCAACGGUGAAACUCAAAGGAAUUGACGGGGGCCCGCACAAGCGGAGGAACAUGUGGUUUAAUUCGAUGAUACGCGAGGAACCUUACCCGGGCUUAAAUUGCAGAUGAAUUACGGUGAAAGCCGUAAGCCGCAAGGCAUCUGUGAAGGUGCUGCAUGGUUGUCGUCAGCUCGUGCCGUGAAGUGUCGGCUUAAGUGCCAUAACGAGCGCAACCCUUGUUGUCAGUUACUAACAGGUUCCGCUGAGGACUCUGACAAGACUGCCAUCGUAAGAUGUGAGGAAGGUGGGGAUGACGUCAAAUCAGCACGGCCCUUACGUCCGGGGCUACACACGUGUUACAAUGGGGGGUACAGAGGGUCGCUACCACGCGAGUGGAUGCCAAUCCCCAAAACCUCUCUCAGUUCGGACUGGAGUCUGCAACCCGACUCCACGAAGCUGGAUUCGCUAGUAAUCGCGCAUCAGCCACGGCGCGGUGAAUACGUUCCCGGGCCUUGUACACACCGCCCGUCAAGCCAUGGGAGCCGGGGGUACCUGAAGUGCGUAACCGCGAGGAGCGCCCUAGGGUAAAACUGGUGACUGGGGCUAAG